This is a long non-coding RNA of Sapajus apella (tufted capuchin), 898 nucleotides long. RefSeq lists it as uncharacterized. The transcript is spliced from 3 exons. NCBI's taxonomy places the organism in Eukaryota, Metazoa, Chordata, Mammalia, Primates, Cebidae. The record is from RefSeq and is a predicted model, not a curated record.
CAGGCAGCACUUCUCUCUCGCCUUGUUGCAAUUCUUUUUCAGGUUUCUUCUCAGAUUCUCUGUAGCUCCCCCUCUCCUUCUUGCCCUGUGCUUCAGAAUGAUACUGAACAAGUGAAUAGCCAGGAGCAGCUUCCCAGAUGGAGUGACCUGGAACCAGGCACCUGGAGCAGAAGCCAGGCCCCUUGCUGCUGAGCCCUUUCAAGCUUAGUUCAACAACCCCCCAUUGUGCCUUUGUUCCUUUUUGCCAGCCUGCUUUAUUCCAGGGACAGAAGAAAGAACCUUCGUUUUCUCCAGGGAGUGAGAAAGGUUGGGGGGAGUCAUUCUGGGGAAGUUAAACUGAGAUAGAAAUGGGGCAACUCCCAACUACUUUCUCCCCCACCGACUGCCACUGUCAGUACAUGAGUUGAACAAAAUCAAAAAGGCAUGGCAGGUGGCUCUUAACAGACCAUUUCCUGCAUCAUCUCAGGCAGUUUGGCAUCUCUCAUCCAUCCCCUAGCACGCACAAGCACACACACACACAUACACAGAGAGAGAGAGAGAGAGAGAGCGCCCUUGGUGAGUACACAGAGGACACAUGGACAAAUGCUCCUGUCCUGGUUGCCCUCUGAAGCUAAAUCCAGGAAAGUGAGAAAUAGACUUGCCAUGCUGGACAAUCUGCCCCUUGGGAAUGCCACUCUACGAAAGAUGCCAAGCAGAUUAUCCUGAAAGUAGCUUAAUCGUUAACGUGUUCAGAAGACCCAGUCUGUAUUUGAACUGAUUUGGGAAGAAAUCUGGCAGCUCCUACAACUAACUAAGACUCAUCUUCGUAUCCACGUGGACACAAAUGCAGUGCCUUUAUUGUGCCCAAUGGUUGACGAAAUGACAAACUAUGGAGAUAAAUCAUUAUUUUCUAAACUCA